CACCCAAUUUUCUCUUGGAAACAGUUACCCACAAAUCAUUCCAAGUCAAGAACACACCUUCAAUAUUACUACGAAUACUACUCUUUGAAUGCUUCAAUUCUUCUUCUUCUUCAUCAUGUUUUCCGAUUCCAAUAUCCCCUGACUCUAUCGGUUCCAUUUCCAGAUUUACGUAUUGAUAUUUAUCAGAAUAUAGACUUCACAAAAUAUACUCCUAUAUAAUGUCACGAGUCUUGUUGUCCAGCAAAUGGUCACAAAGUGGCCGACAUUAUACUCUCAUUAUUUGUUAUUUCUAAUUCAUUUUUUAUAUGAAAAAAUCUUUUUG
Molecule: long non-coding RNA, 322 nt
Filed under: Nicotiana benthamiana
Lineage: Eukaryota; Viridiplantae; Streptophyta; Magnoliopsida; Solanales; Solanaceae
Description: long non-coding RNA (NBEN_LNC002779)
Source: RNAcentral